AUUGAACGCUGGCGGCAGGCCUAACACAUGCAAGUCGAGCGGAUGAAGGGAGCUUGCUCCUGGAUUCAGCGGCGGACGGGUGAGUAAUGCCUAGGAAUCUGCCUGGUAGUGGGGGAUAACGUCCGGAAACGGGCGCUAAUACCGCAUACGUCCUGAGGGAGAAAGUGGGGGAUCUUCGGACCUCACGCUAUCAGAUGAGCCUAGGUCGGAUUAGCUAGUUGGUGGGGUAAAGGCCUACCAAGGCGACGAUCCGUAACUGGUCUGAGAGGAUGAUCAGUCACACUGGAGCUGAGACACGGUCCAGACUACUACGGGAGGCAGCAGUGGGGAAUAUUGGACAAUGGGCGAAAGCCUGAUCCAGCCAUGCCGCGUGUGUGAAGAAGGUCUUCGGAUUGUAAAGCACUUUAAGUUGGGAGGAAGGGCAGUAAGUUAAUACCUUGCUGUUUUGACGUUACCAACAGAAUAAGCACCGGCUAACUUCGUG
RNAcentral lists this ribosomal RNA (484 nucleotides) under uncultured bacterium. RNAcentral's name for it is "partial 16S ribosomal RNA". It matches the Rfam family "Bacterial small subunit ribosomal RNA", at positions 30 to 507 of the family's 1533-position model. The record is from RNAcentral.